This is a long non-coding RNA of Sceloporus undulatus (fence lizard), 343 nucleotides long. RefSeq lists it as uncharacterized. Lineage: Eukaryota; Metazoa; Chordata; Lepidosauria; Squamata; Phrynosomatidae. The transcript has 3 exons. The record is from RefSeq and is a predicted model, not a curated record.
UGCUCCUCUGUGGCUAUGUAUCUUCCUCGUGAUCUUCAGGAGUUGCAUGGAAAGGUCUGGCAUCUGCUUCUUCCCAUGCCAUGACUGCCAGCUUCCUCUGCCUCUUCCUGGUACUCUUCUUCCCCUUCCUCAUCUGAAAAGUCCUCUUCCAGGAUCCUAUGCCUAUUCUUUCCAUGUUGUUUCUUCCUCUGGCACCAAAUUUUUGGGGCAUGAAUUAAUGCUCAAGAACAUACGGACUGAGUUUCUUUCCUCGCCCUACCUUGGAAAUUAGAUCUUAUGGUUGUCAGUCUGCCAGCAGCUGGACCCUGACCAGAAUGAUACUGAAGAUGGCAAUGAUGAAAAC